CCUACGGGAGGCAGCAGUGGGGAAUAUUGCGCAAUGGGCGAAAGCCUGACGCAGCGACGCCGCGUGAGGGAUGAAGGUCUUCGGAUCGUAAACCUCUGUCAGCAGGGAAGAACGGUCACUGUGCUAAUCAGCAGUGAAUUGACGGUCCCUGCAAAGGAAGCACCGGCUAACUCCGUGCCAGCAGCCGCGGUAAUACGGAGGGUGCGAGCGUUAAUCGGAAUUACUGGGCGUAAAGCGCUCGUAGGCGGUAUGCCAAGUCAAGGGUGAAAUCCCCGCGCUCAACGUGGGAACUGCCUUUGAAACUGGCAAACUAGAGUGUGGGAGAGGAUGGUGGAAUUCCAGGUGUAGGGGUGAAAUGCGUAGAUAUCAGGAGGAACAUCAGUGGCGAAGGCGACUAUCUGGCACAUAACUGACGCUGAGGAGCGAAAGCGUGGGGAGCAAACAGGAUUAGAUACCCUUGUAGUC
Molecule: ribosomal RNA, 465 nt
Filed under: uncultured bacterium
Lineage: Bacteria
Description: partial 16S ribosomal RNA
Rfam family: Bacterial small subunit ribosomal RNA
Source: RNAcentral